AAAGUUUCCUUCGGGGAGCGAGUAGAGUGGCGCACGGGUGAGUAACACGUAGGUAAUCUACCUUUGGAUGGGGAAUAACAGCCGGAAACGGUUGCUAAUACCGCAUAAUGCAGCGGCACCUAAUGGUGACAGUUGUUAAAGCGGGGGAUCGAAAGACCUCGCGUCUGAAGAGGAGCCUGCGGCGGAUUAGCUAGUUGGUAAGGUAAUGGCUUACCAAGGCUAUGAUCCGUAACCGGCCUGAGAGGGCGGUCGGUCACACUGACACUGACAUACGGGUCAGACUCCUACGGGAGGCAGCAGUCGGGAAUUUUGGGCAAUGGGCGAAAGCCUGACCCAGCAACGCCGCGUGAAGGAUGAAAUCCCUCGGGAUGUAAACUUCGCAAGAACAGGAAGAAUAAGUAAGGGUUAAUAUCUCUUACGAUGACGGUACUGUUUGUAAGCUCCGGCUAACUCCGUGCCAGCAGCCGCGGUAAUACGGGGGGAGCAAGCGUUGUUCGGAUUUACUGGGCGUAAAGGGCGCGUAGGCGGCCACCGCAAGUCGGUUGUGAAAUCUCUGGGCUUAACCCAGAAAGGUCAACCGAUACUGCGGGGCUAGAGUGCAGAAGGGGCAACUGGAAUUCUCGGUGUAGCGGUGAAAUGCGUAGAUAUCGAGAGGAACACCUGCGGCGAAGGCGGGUUGCUGGGCUGACACUGACGCUGCAGCGCGAAAGCUAGGGGAGCGAACGGGAUUAGAUACCCCGGUAGUCCUAGCCUUAAACGAUGAAUGCUUGGUGUCUGGGGUUUUAUAGUCCCCGGGUGCCGUCGCUAACGCUUUAAGCAUUCCGCCUGGGGAGUACGGUCGCAAGACUG
RNAcentral lists this ribosomal RNA (849 nucleotides) under uncultured Actinomycetes bacterium. RNAcentral's name for it is "bacterial SSU rRNA". It matches the Rfam family "Bacterial small subunit ribosomal RNA", at positions 70 to 896 of the family's 1533-position model. Lineage: Bacteria; Bacillati; Actinomycetota; Actinomycetes. The record is from RNAcentral.